Molecule: ribosomal RNA, 253 nt
Filed under: uncultured bacterium
Lineage: Bacteria
Description: partial 16S ribosomal RNA
Rfam family: Bacterial small subunit ribosomal RNA
Source: RNAcentral
UACGUAGGGCGCAAGCGUUGUCCGGAAUUAUUGGGCGUAAAGAGCUCGUAGGCGGCUUGUCACGUCGGGUGUGAAAGCCCGGGGCUUAACCCCGGGUCUGCAUUCGAUACGGGCUAGCUAGAGUGUGGUAGGGGAGAUCGGAAUUCCUGGUGUAGCGGUGAAAUGCGCAGAUAUCUGGAGGAACACCGGUGGCGAAGGCGGCAUCCUGGACCGGCAUUGACGCUGAGGCGCGAAAGCUAGGGGAGCAAACGGG